GACGAACGCUGGCGGCGUGCUUAACACAUGCAAGUCGAACGGAAAGGCCCCAGCUUGCUGGGGUACUCGAGUGGCGAACGGGUGAGUAACACGUGGGUGAUCUGCCCUGCACUCUGGGAUAAGCCUGGGAAACUGGGUCUAAUACCGGAUAGGACCGUGCUUUAGUGUGUGCGGUGGAAAGUUUUUCGGUGCAGGAUGAGCCCGCGGCCUAUCAGCUUGUUGGUGGGGUAAUGGCCUACCAAGGCGGCGACGGGUAGCCGGCCUGAGAGGGUGUACGGCCACAUUGGGACUGAGACACGGCCCAGACUCCUACGGGAGGCAGCAGUGGGGAAUAUUGCACAAUGGGCGCAAGCCUGAUGCAGCGACGCCGCGUGGGGGAUGACGGCCUUCGGGUUGUAAACCCCUUUCGACAGGGACGAAGCUUUUGUGACGGUACCUGCAUAAGAAGCACCGGCUAACUACGUG
RNAcentral lists this ribosomal RNA (465 nucleotides) under uncultured bacterium. Its description in RNAcentral is "partial 16S ribosomal RNA". It matches the Rfam family "Bacterial small subunit ribosomal RNA", at positions 28 to 507 of the family's 1533-position model. The record is from RNAcentral.